CUUGAGUGACUCUAUAAGGCGUGGAUGAAGUUCUGGGUGAGUGUGUGUUAUUGACAAGGACCAAUAUACCUAGGAUCUAUGGAGACUGGGAAAACUUCCCUUCCUAUGAGUUUCAGAGGCAGAGCAAAACCUUUCACUAAUCCAAACACAGGUGUUUGCAAAUGACUGACCAGUGUGUACACAAUUGCAACUUCCUCCUUCUGGAGGAUCGCAUCCUAAGACUGCUUUCCUACAGAGAUCUCCUACAAGACUAGUUAGCCCCUUCUCAUGCUGUAUAUGGUAAAUGCCCUGUGGCUCUGGGUUGUUUCAUAGUAUUGAUCCAUCAGAGCGAGGACAACACACCUGACCCCUUCUGUAUGUGUAUCUGUCCUUUCUUCAUUGUUUCAUCUCCCUAGUCAAAUUUCCAGGACCAAGCCAUGCUGGAGGUGGCAAAAUUCUAGAAAAAAAAGAAAAAGGACCACAUGUCACACAAGGAUUUCUUAGAUUAAUAAACCAAGAAGCAGGCCACUUUCCAUGAGGUUGCACCAGUGGAGCUGGUGCCACUGAGUCAGUAGGAGCAGCAACGGACUCUUCACUUGAUCUUAGCCAAAAGGCGGAGAAGCAAUAGCAAUGGACUCUUACCCAGCAUGCCCUGCUGCCUCAUUUUUAUUUUCUAAAAGGGACUCCUAUGCAGUACUGCUCAUGCAUGCACUCAAAAAUGUUUAGGUUACCCCAUUACAGUUCCCCUUAAUUAAAAACAUGAAUAUUCCCCCUUAAAACCUCAAAUUCCACUCAGUGUUGAAUAUUCCCCCUUAAAACCUCAAAUUCCACUCAGUGUUGACUCAUUUACAAAGUUGACUCAUGCAAAGACCGAAAGCAUGUUUAUUAAACACUCAAGCUUCGAAA
Grammomys surdaster is the source of this 885-nucleotide long non-coding RNA. RefSeq lists it as uncharacterized. The transcript is spliced from 2 exons. The record is from RefSeq and is a predicted model, not a curated record. NCBI's taxonomy places the organism in Eukaryota, Metazoa, Chordata, Mammalia, Rodentia, Muridae.